GAAAGAUGGUUUUGCUAUCACUUAUAGAUGGACCCGCGCCGUAUUAGCUAGUUGGUAAGGUAACGGCUUACCAAGGCGACGAUACGUAGCCGACCUGAGAGGGUGAUCGGCCACACUGGAACUGAGACACGGUCCAGACUCCUACGGGAGGCAGCAGUAGGGAAUCUUCCGCAAUGGGCGAAAGCCUGACGGAGCAACGCCGCGUGAGUGAUGAAGGGUUUCGGCUCGUAAAACUCUGUUAUUAGGGAAGAACAAAUGUGUAAGUAACUGUGCACGUCUUGACGGUACCUAAUCAGAAAGCCACGGCUAACUACGUGCCAGCAGCCGCGGUAAUACGUAGGUGGCAAGCGUUAUCCGGAAUUAUUGGGCGUAAAGCGCGCGUAGGCGGUUUCUUAAGUCUGAUGUGAAAGCCCACGGCUCAACCGUGGAGGGUCAUUGGAAACUGGGAAACUUGAGUGCAGAAGAGGAAAGUGGAAUUCCAUGUGUAGCGGUGAAAUGCGCAGAGAUAUGGAGGAACACCAGUGGCGAAGGCGACUUUCUGGUCUGUAACUGACGCUGAUGUGCGAAAGCGUGGGGAUCAAACAGGAUUAGAUACCCUGGUAGUCCACGCCGUAAACGAUGAGUGCUAAGUGUUAGGGGGUUUCCGCCCCUUA
RNAcentral lists this ribosomal RNA (653 nucleotides) under uncultured bacterium. RNAcentral describes it as "bacterial SSU rRNA". It matches the Rfam family "Bacterial small subunit ribosomal RNA", at positions 202 to 842 of the family's 1533-position model. The record is from RNAcentral.